AAUUCAGCCCUGCCACUGGCUUGUGUCAUCACCUUGGGCUAGUUACUCAGGCUGUUUGCAAAAUGGGCUAGUUGGACAGGAGCAGUGCCACUCAACUC
MicroRNA precursor from Chlorocebus sabaeus (green monkey), 98 nucleotides. Ensembl annotates it as microRNA 575. Its record names the gene MIR575. The record is from Ensembl. NCBI's taxonomy places the organism in Eukaryota, Metazoa, Chordata, Mammalia, Primates, Cercopithecidae.